RNAcentral lists this ribosomal RNA (497 nucleotides) under uncultured bacterium. RNAcentral describes it as "partial 16S ribosomal RNA". It matches the Rfam family "Bacterial small subunit ribosomal RNA", at positions 28 to 507 of the family's 1533-position model. The record is from RNAcentral.
GAUGAACGCUGGCGGCGUGCCUAAUACAUGCAAGUCGAGCGAACGGACGAGAAGCUUGCUUCUCUGAUGUUAGCGGCGGACGGGUGAGUAACACGUGGAUAACCUACCUAUAAGACUGGGAUAACUUCGGGAAACCGGAGCUAAUACCGGAUAUAUUUUUGAACCGCUGGGUUAAAAGUGAAAAAAGGGUCUGCCUGUACCUUAUGAUUGGAUCCGCGCUGCAUUAGCUAGUUGGUAAGGUAACGGCUUACCAAGGCAACGAUGCAUAGCCGACCUGAGAGGGUGAUCGGCCACACUGGAACUGAGACACGGUCCAGACUCCUACGGGAGGCAGCAGUAGGGAAUCUUCCGCAAUGGGCGAAAGCCUGACGGAGCAACGCCGCGUGAGUGAUGAAGGUCUUCGGAUCGUAAAACUCUGUUAUUAGGGAAGAACAUAUGUGUAAGUAACUGUGCACAUCUUGACGGUACCUAAUCAGAAAGCCACGGCUAACUACGUG